This 2400-nucleotide long non-coding RNA is filed under the name Physcomitrium patens. RNAcentral describes it as "long non-coding RNA (PPAT_LNC006396)". Lineage: Eukaryota; Viridiplantae; Streptophyta; Bryopsida; Funariales; Funariaceae. The record is from RNAcentral.
GUGAACUCGAAGAAACUGACUUAGCAUUUAGUCAGCAUCGCCGUGAAAACGCCAAGUCAGUGGUCAGUCUGAUUGCGCAGUCUACCCAGGUUUAUAAAAGUCAUGCCAAACCUUGUGGGGAAGUGCAAAAAAAUCCAGCCAAAUGCAAUAGUUCUCCGCGGUUAUACUAAGAUACAGUAUGUGUGUAUUUGAAUCUGCGGUAGAGUGAUCUGACAUCACAAACUAAGAUUAGUUACUGUAAAAAAGAAUUGUGCAAUGGUAUAUUGAGCAAUGACGGAAUCGAACAGUGUCACAUAGCAAGCAUUUACAAGUCUGUUACGCGAUGUAAGGAGAGGCAAUGCUGACAGCUCACAUGGUUAAGGCAAGACCUGAUCAUUUUACGCCGUGGUCGAAGAGCUUUGGCCGCAGUAUUGGAAUGUGGGACAUAUUUACGGCAGACUAAGCAUUGGACAUGGUUCGAAUUACCAUUUAUGGGCUCCGCAAAAGUUCAUUGGGCCCCACACAUACAGCAGAAGUGGGACUUGGAACAGGAAUCGAAAGGGUGAAAUAGAGCUAGUGAGAGAGAUGUGGUUGGACCCAAAAAUUGAUUUUACUUGAAUAAGCGGGAGAGAAUGUCGCUGUCUAAGAGGCAAGUCGCUAUAAUUUGCACCUAUCGUGAAAAUUGCUCACCUCCUGGUGUUCCGGCGCGCUGAGCGAGUCGCCAGACCAGCGACUGCUCAUGUGCGCCGGUGCGAGCUCUACCGUGUUCUACCUACUUGUUGCCCAUUGCUUGCGUUUUUUUUCUCUUGGUGAGGCUUAUUCAUUGCCGCGCGCGAUCUCGAUGGUGCCAAUGCUGGACAGUAGAAGCUGUGUGUUGGAUGGGAGGUGAGGAGACUGCAAGGACGUUGUGAGCUCGAGUGGGGUCCUCUCAAUUAGUUUCCUUUGAUGCCGUAGACUUGGUGCCUCAAUGGCGCAGAGGGUGUCCAGUUCGUGGUCUAUGGCCCAACUAAGCAUGCGGUUGCAGCGAGUGGCGAAGACGAAGCAAUGGGAGCUCUUCCAGCGGGUUAUGCUGGUUAUUGUUGUGAUUAUUUGGGUGGCAACGGUGAUGACCACGGCGUUUAUCCGUCUCUCUACUGGUAUGUGAGAAAUAGGCAUUUACCGCGCUUCACACUAUUGAGAAAAAUGCGACGAGAGAGAGAGAGAGAGAGAGAGAGCGAUGCAUGUGAGUAACCAUAUUUCGCCUGUUCAUACUCAUCUAGUAAGGUAUGCCUGUUGUAUAAACCGACAGAACAUAGUAUUGGGGUCAAGAUUGCACCAUCAUUGUGCAAUACAACCAAAAAUUCCUGUGUGGAGAGAAGAUAAGUAGGAAAUUAUCGAGCUCGGGGUAGUCGAAGAAUUGAACCUCGCCUGUCGAAACGUUGUGGCUCAUGAUUAACCCCGAAAUGUCUUUUGAUGCCGCUACGUUUGAGUAACUACCCGAGUCACUCCCUCACCUGAUUCAGGCUUAUGAGUCAGAUGAAGACUGCAGAAAGUGCUCGCGUAGAAGGAAUAAAAAUAUCCCUCCUUUUGUUUGUUUCAUUGCUAUAAUCUAUUUACAAUCAUGGUGGAGAUUUAGAGUCAGUCCUGCAUUCCAGUAACAAUACUGAGUCCCUACCACAUUCUGUUGAACUUUAAGUAACACGUCUCAUUUCUUUCCGGUGUGGACUGUAUUAUUACUAUGUCUCAAGUAGAUAAAUAGCUUUUGACACCAUUUCUGGCUGUGCAGAUUCUGAAAUCGAUACAAACCUCUCAAGCUCGUCCGAUUCAACCAGUCCUCUGUUCCACGCGAGGAAACUUGCAUCAUGGUAUUUAAUAUUAGGACAAUGUGCUGCGUAUCAGUGUUGUAUAUUAGUUUAGUGUAGAAGUACAUCAGUGUGGUAUAUCGCUUUUAAACAUCUUAGGUGUAAUUACGCUGUUGAGUAACUUCAGAAGCGGCUUACCAACGUGAUUGUUGUCGGUGCUUGCAGGAUCGAAGGGUGAUGGACCUGCUCAGAUGACCCUCAGACAUUUAGUAAACUCCAUACAAUCAAUGCAUCCUGAAGUCUUCUGUUCUUCCGAUUCACCUUCCUUUCUUCCCUUUUUUCAACGGAAACGCUCACCUUCUCGUCUUGGUUCGGAAGAUCUGCUGAAACUGCGCAAAUAGCAAAUUCUCCAGUCGAUGGCAGCGGAAUUCCUGGGCAACGUGAACGAGCAUGGGAGUUCAUAAAGCUAAAUCUCCGACUUGUUAGAUAAGUGAAAGAACCAUCAUAUCAUAGGUUUGAGCUUCGAUGUAAAUUUAUUAUAGUUUCUUCAUGUAGCGAUUGCGCUACAGCGGCGAAGUGCAGUAGGAAUACACCACAUGUUUAUGAACAGAUAAAGCCAAUUUAGAACAGUUCAUAUGUU